This 1055-nucleotide ribosomal RNA is filed under the name Frigoribacterium sp. 762G73. RNAcentral's name for it is "bacterial SSU rRNA". It matches the Rfam family "Bacterial small subunit ribosomal RNA", at positions 56 to 1124 of the family's 1533-position model. The record is from RNAcentral. Lineage: Bacteria; Bacillati; Actinomycetota; Actinomycetes; Micrococcales; Microbacteriaceae.
UGCAGUCGAACGGUGAAGGAGGAGCUUGCUCCUUUGGAUCAGUGGCGAACGGGUGAGUAACACGUGAGUAACCUGCCCCAGACUCUGGGAUAAGCACUGGAAACGGUGUCUAAUACCGGAUACGAGCUUCAGCCGCAUGGCUAGGAGCUGGAAAGAAUUUCGGUCUGGGAUGGACUCGCGGCCUAUCAGCUAGUUGGUGAGGUAAUGGCUCACCAAGGCGACGACGGGUAGCCGGCCUGAGAGGGUGACCGGCCACACUGGGACUGAGACACGGCCCAGACUCCUACGGGAGGCAGCAGUGGGGAAUAUUGCACAAUGGGCGCAAGCCUGAUGCAGCAACGCCGCGUGAGGGACGACGGCCUUCGGGUUGUAAACCUCUUUUAGUAGGGAAGAAGCGAAAGUGACGGUACCUGCAGAAAAAGCACCGGCUAACUACGUGCCAGCAGCCGCGGUAAUACGUAGGGUGCAAGCGUUAUCCGGAAUUAUUGGGCGUAAAGAGCUCGUAGGCGGUUUGUCGCGUCUGCUGUGAAAACUGGAGGCUCAACCUCCAGCCUGCAGUGGGUACGGGCAGACUAGAGUGCGGUAGGGGAGAUUGGAAUUCCUGGUGUAGCGGUGGAAUGCGCAGAUAUCAGGAGGAACACCGAUGGCGAAGGCAGAUCUCUGGGCCGUAACUGACGCUGAGGAGCGAAAGCAUGGGGAGCGAACAGGAUUAGAUACCCUGGUAGUCCAUGCCGUAAACGUUGGGAACUAGAUGUAGGGACCAUUCCACGGUUUCUGUGUCGCAGCUAACGCAUUAAGUUCCCCGCCUGGGGAGUACGGCCGCAAGGCUAAAACUCAAAGGAAUUGACGGGGGCCCGCACAAGCGGCGGAGCAUGCGGAUUAAUUCGAUGCAACGCGAAGAACCUUACCAAGGCUUGACAUAUACCGGAAAAGUUCAGAAAUGUUCUCCCCGCAAGGUCGGUAUACAGGUGGUGCAUGGUUGUCGUCAGCUCGUGUCGUGAGAUGUUGGGUUAAGUCCCGCAACGAGCGGAACCCUCGUUCUAUGUUGCCAGCAC